RNAcentral lists this ribosomal RNA (251 nucleotides) under uncultured prokaryote. RNAcentral describes it as "partial 16S rRNA". It matches the Rfam family "Bacterial small subunit ribosomal RNA", at positions 525 to 775 of the family's 1533-position model. The record is from RNAcentral.
ACGAAGGGGGCUAGCGUUGUUCGGAUUUACUGGGCGUAAAGCGCACGUAGGCGGAUUGUUAAGUUGGGGGUGAAAUCCUGGAGCUCAACUCCAGAACUGCCUUCAAUACUGGCAAUCUCGAGUCCGGAAGAGGUAAGUGGAACUCCUAGUGUAGAGGUGGAAUUCGUAGAUAUUAGGAAGAACACCAGUGGCGAAGGCGGCUUACUGGUCCGGUACUGACGCUGAGGUGCGAAAGCGUGGGGAGCAAACAG